GCUGGCGGCAUGCUUAACACAUGCAAGUCGCACGGAGGUUUUCGGACUUCAGUGGCGGACGGGUGAGUAACGCGUAGGGAUCUAUCCACGGGUGGGGGAUAACUCCGGGAAACUGGAGCUAAUACCGCAUGACACCUGAGGGUCAAAGGCGCAAGUCGCCUGUGGAGGAGCCUGCGUUCGAUUAGCUUGUUGGUGGGGUAAAGGCCUACCAAGGCGAUGAUCGAUAGCUGGUCUGAGAGGAUGAUCAGCCACACUGGGACUGAGACACGGCCCAGACUCCUACGGGAGGCAGCAGUGGGGAAUAUUGGACAAUGGGGGCAACCCUGAUCCAGCAAUGCCGCGUGUGUGAAGAAGGUUUUCGGAUUGUAAAGCACUUUCGGCGGGGACGAUGAUGACGGUACCCGCAGAAGAAGCCCCGGCUAACUUCGUGCCAGCAGCCGCGGUAAUACGAAGGGGGCUAGCGUUGCUCGGAAUGACUGGGCGUAAAGGGCGUGUAGGCGGUUUGGACAGUCAGAUGUGAAAUCCCCGGGCUUAACCUGGGAGCUGCAUUUGAUACGUCCAGACUAGAGUGUGAGAGAGGGUUGUGGAAUUCUCAGUGUAGAGGUGAAAUUCGUAGAUAUUGGGAAGAACACCGGUGGCGAAGGCGGCAACCUGGCUCAUUACUGACGCUGAGGCGCGAAAGCGUGGGGGAGCAAACAGGAUUAGAUACCCUGGUAGUCCACGCUGUAAACGAUGUGUGCUGGAUGUUGGGUAACUUAGUUACUCAGUGUCGUAGCUAACGCGAUAAGCACACCCGCCCUGGGGAGUACCGGC
RNAcentral lists this ribosomal RNA (813 nucleotides) under Acetobacter nitrogenifigens. RNAcentral's name for it is "bacterial SSU rRNA". It matches the Rfam family "Bacterial small subunit ribosomal RNA", at positions 35 to 887 of the family's 1533-position model. The record is from RNAcentral. Lineage: Bacteria; Pseudomonadati; Pseudomonadota; Alphaproteobacteria; Acetobacterales; Acetobacteraceae.